GGCACCAGAACCACUGAGCUAAAUUCCCGGCCCCUCAGCUGUUUUUCUUCAAAAGCACUUCAGCUGUUUUCUUUCUUUGGGGGAGCUUCAAUCCUCAUCUUCAUCUUGGACAUCAUUUUCUGGCUUCCAGUGCAGACCCCUCAGCCUUCUGGCGCAGAUCCUGCAGCCUUUUGCCACAGACCCCUCAGCUUCUGGCACUGGCCCUUGGGCCUGUCCGCCGCAGCUCCUUCAGCCUCCUGAUAACAGACUUGCUCAGGACAUGGCCAUGGCAUCCAGGCCCUCGACUGGAUCCUUCGGGUCUCCAGCGAGCAGGCAGACAUGUUACACUCUUCUACAUCUGACUCUACUCAAGUGUGACCUGUACCCCGGCAGCUCCCAUGGCCAGGUCCCCAGCCUUGCAGCCUCCUUCAGAGCCCUGACCUCCUGCAGCAGUGGCAGCAUUUUGAGCUGGCUGAGGCUUGGCUGAGCUUUGCGUCACACGGGCCGUCUGACCCCAGUACCCGGCCUGAAGAACUUGACCUUUGACAGACAGCUCUUGAGAAUGUACUUGAGGAGAAGGCCAACCUUCCGGCGGGUCGUGAGUAGGGCUUCCUCGCUGCCUCCCUCCCCAGAUCCCCGCUUUUCCAUGCCACUGUCAGCAGCCGCCUCCAGGCUGAUGUCCCGCUGGAGCUCGUCCUCCUCCAGGGCCUUGAUACGGACCCGAUGGGCAUCCUCAGCCAACUCAUUGAGGCAGCCCUGGAGCAUGGUGUAGACGGUGCCGAAGCUGAUGCCACCAGCCACCAGUGUGCCGAACGUAGGGAUGCCCCUCUCAAAGGCACGGGCCACCUUCAUGGCGCCAUCGGCCGACGGUGAGUAGAGCCGCAGGACGGUCUCCGGCGAGACCUCGUUGGCUAGCAGGGAGCGGGUGACGGAGAGCAGGUCGCCCGGCUGCUUGCCCACCUGUUCGGCCAGCUUGGCCAGCGAGUCGUCAUCCAGGC
Molecule: long non-coding RNA, 977 nt
Filed under: Heterocephalus glaber (naked mole-rat)
Lineage: Eukaryota; Metazoa; Chordata; Mammalia; Rodentia; Bathyergidae
Description: lncRNA (ENSHGLG00000036807.1)
Source: RNAcentral